RNAcentral lists this ribosomal RNA (253 nucleotides) under uncultured bacterium. RNAcentral's name for it is "partial 16S ribosomal RNA". It matches the Rfam family "Bacterial small subunit ribosomal RNA", at positions 524 to 776 of the family's 1533-position model. The record is from RNAcentral.
UACGGAGGGGGCUAGCGUUGUUCGGAAUUACUGGGCGUAAAGCGUUCGUAGGCGGCUUUCCAAGUCAGAGGUGAAAUCCCACGACUCAAUCGUGGAACUGCCUUUGAGACUGGUUCGCUUGAACACGGGAGAGGUGAGUGGAAUUCCGAGUGUAGAGGUGAAAUUCGUAGAUAUUCGGAAGAACACCAGUGGCGAAGGCGGCUCACUGGACCGUUGUUGACGCUGAGGAACGAAAGCGUGGGGAGCAAACAGG